This 385-nucleotide long non-coding RNA is filed under the name Homo sapiens (human). RNAcentral describes it as "HSALNT0257256". Lineage: Eukaryota; Metazoa; Chordata; Mammalia; Primates; Hominidae. The record is from RNAcentral.
UAGGAUACCUGACUCUUCUCUUAUUCCUGAGACUUACACAGAAUCGGCAACAUCUCUGAUCUUCUCACCUAGGUGGAUGGUGACUCUAAGACCAGGAUUCAACACAACUAGAAGGCUUUGACUCUAAUACGAGUCACAGAAGGCUCUGCGACUCUUCUAUUUUCUCUAGGUUAUGCAAAUGGAGGUGGAUUGUGACAUAUCAUAGGGCCAACACAACACACAGUCUACAGGUGGAAUUGGGACUCUCAUGCAUGGAUCCAGUUCAUCAUUGAUACUGUGACUCAGGUGGGAUUUUGACAUAUAACUGCACCCAGCACACAGGAGACAGAUGGAUUUUGGAGAAUGACAGUGGAUUAUCAUGAGGUUAAUCAAGUGGUAACUCCAA